GUAACCCGAACUUUUUUUUUUUUUAUGUCUCUAAUUAUAGCGCACUCCUGACACACAAAUGAUUACUAGAGACUUUUUAGCCCCCCAGGGUGUUAUUUUCCCAUGAAUAAAAGAAGAAAACUACUCUUACAAGCAUAUGACAUGUUCUUGUGCCUUCACUUGAUGAUGCCUUGCAAAUUAUUUUGUAGGCUUCUCCAGCUUGAUACUUGGGGAAAAUGAGUGAUCCCUCCGAUGCUGUGAUGCCGCUCUGCGGGCAGUGGCUGGUGCAGUAAGAUGUGACCUACAAAAACGUCAGGGAAAGCCUCCCCCAACAUCUGAAGUUUAUUCGGGCCUGACCCCAGCGGAUGGCCCGAGAGAGGGAUUAGGGCCCGAUUCGCCUAAUUAGCCCCACGACCCCUUCACCAGCCCCCUGCACACCGCCCGUGACUCGCUCACUUCAUUAGCGACGCCUGCCCUCGUCACAAAAAAUGGGAAGAAUAGCAAAGGAACAACAAGGCCGACCAUUCCAAGUCUUCUAAAAUAAGCUCCCGUCACCAACCCCUUCCAUAUGCCCGUCUCGUCAGCGACCGCCUGCCCCCCCCCGUUGACAGCAGGCAGCACGAGAGACCACCAAAAAGCAGUUUGUGUAACCGACACAAAAACAUCGAGUGACGGUGGCAACUUUUGAGAGCAAUUUAUUCGAUGCCUGGCGGGGGGGUCCUCGGUUUAAGACGGAGCUUCAUUCCUACAGAGGUGAGCGACAUCAACCGAAUGUGCACGUUUGUCAUAUUCCAGUGGUUGUCAUCUCAAAAAAUAAGUCACUCUCCAAGCACCGCUAAAAUGACCAACUUUAAAAUAACAUCAUAGACCAAUUUGGUCUUCAAUCAAAUGUUUAGUUUUUUUUUUUUUUUAAUUCUUAAAAAGUCCAUUUAUCAUCGUUUCCCGUUGUAACAUUGUACAAUUGUUUUUAAUCGUAAUGAAAUGCCGAUUCCUUUCAAACGAAUUGUCCAUAAGCGCCACAAAUGGCAGCGUAUAAACGUACGGAAUUGCAUAUCCACAGAUGGCGAUCAGGCGUCUUCCAAAUGUGGAUUGAAAUCCGAUACACAUAUGGGAUAUCUGCCAAUGCCUGUGCAGCAUAAACGCACAGACGGCAUCUUGCCGCCAUUGCCAGCGUGACCUCAGCGGUGACUUCGACAACCCACAUUUCUACCCGAACCCCACAAAUAAACGUUUUUAAAAGCACCUGCGGCAAAAGCACGAACCAUUAAACACGGUCCAAAGAUGCUCAUUUAGAGGCACGUAGCAUAUUCAUUGUUCACAGAAACCCCCGCUUAUUUCUGUUAACAUGUUCGUUAAUGUAUUCACUGUUUAUAAUGAGCACCAAUUAUCAGCAAAAUUUUUUUGAUUGACAGUCAG
This is a long non-coding RNA of Hippocampus comes (tiger tail seahorse), 1395 nucleotides long. RefSeq lists it as uncharacterized. The transcript has 4 exons. Lineage: Eukaryota; Metazoa; Chordata; Actinopteri; Syngnathiformes; Syngnathidae. The record is from RefSeq and is a predicted model, not a curated record.